This 685-nucleotide ribosomal RNA is filed under the name Serratia sp. HTJL5. Its description in RNAcentral is "bacterial SSU rRNA". It matches the Rfam family "Bacterial small subunit ribosomal RNA", at positions 793 to 1478 of the family's 1533-position model. The record is from RNAcentral. Lineage: Bacteria; Pseudomonadati; Pseudomonadota; Gammaproteobacteria; Enterobacterales; Yersiniaceae.
GUCCACGCCGUAAACGAUGUCGACUUGGAGGUUGUGCCCUUGAGGCGUGGCUUCCGGAGCUAACGCGUUAAGUCGACCGCCUGGGGAGUACGGCCGCAAGGUUAAAACUCAAAUGAAUUGACGGGGGCCCGCACAAGCGGUGGAGCAUGUGGUUUAAUUCGAUGCAACGCGAAGAACCUUACCUGGUCUUGACAUCCACAGAACUUUCCAGAGAUGGAUUGGUGCCUUCGGGAACUGUGAGACAGGUGCUGCAUGGCUGUCGUCAGCUCGUGUUGUGAAAUGUUGGGUUAAGUCCCGCAACGAGCGCAACCCUUAUCCUUUGUUGCCAGCGGUCCGGCCGGGAACUCAAAGGAGACUGCCAGUGAUAAACUGGAGGAAGGUGGGGAUGACGUCAAGUCAUCAUGGCCCUUACGACCAGGGCUACACACGUGCUACAAUGGCGCAUACAAAGAGAAGCGGCCUCGCGAGAGCAAGCGGACCUCAUAAAGUGCGUCGUAGUCCGGAUUGGAGUCUGCAACUCGACUCCAUGAAGUCGGAAUCGCUAGUAAUCGUGGAUCAGAAUGCCACGGUGAAUAUGUUCCCGGGCCUUGUACACACCGCCCGUCACACCAUGGGAGUGGGUUGCAAAAGAAGUAGGUAGCUUAACCUUCGGGAGGGCGCUUACCACUUUGUGAUUCAUGACUGG